UUAUGAUGAACUAUCUUCCUGGUUAUGAAAACAUUAACUCUUCAGAAUCACAAAAACUAAUUUCCAUCUUAAAACAUGAGCUUUCAAUCCUUUGUAAAAGAGCAGAUGCACAGAAUUUCAAAGAAGUGCAAAUACAUAAGUUUGUGAAAGGAAGUGUCAUUGCUGAAAGUACUGCAGUAUAUAACUAUCCCAACAAUGACUCACAGAUAAUAUUUCUAAAUAACUAUUUGCAAUACACCCUGGAAACAAUCUUUAACGAAACAGAUUCAUUUAAAAAUCUCAGCAUAGCUCUUAAUGCUUCCAUCCAAGUUGACCAAACGACCAUGGGGCCAGUUAUAAUAUCAAAUAUUUCAGAUCUGCAGUCAUUUGUGAAAUGCACAUUGGAUUUUGCAAACUUAACGGUAGAGUUGGAAGAUGGAGCAUGGGUAUGUGUGGGACUGUGUAAAAGAAAUCUUGAAUUCUGCAAUCAACGAGGUGUAUGCCUUAAUGAAAUAAAAGGACCACAGUGCAGGUGUUACAGUUCUCCCUUUGAGAAGUACUAUGGAGAUCAUUGUGAGCUUUACAGCAGAGGGGCCGGUUUCUACGCUGUCCUCUUUGGCUGUUUAGCAGCUUUUGCUCUACUUAUCAUUGUCUUUGGUGUGAUGAUUCUGGUGCUCUACAGAGC
Molecule: long non-coding RNA, 664 nt
Organism: Carassius auratus (goldfish)
Lineage: Eukaryota; Metazoa; Chordata; Actinopteri; Cypriniformes; Cyprinidae
Exons: 5
Source: RefSeq, a predicted model, not a curated record